ACUCCUACGGGAGGCAGCAGUGGGGAAUAUUGCACAAUGGGCGCAAGCCUGAUGCAGCGACGCCGCGUGAGGGAUGACGGCCUUCGGGUUGUAAACCUCUUUCAGUAGGGAAGAAGCGAAAGUGACGGUACCUGCAGAAGAAGCGCCGGCUAACUACGUGCCAGCAGCCGCGGUAAUACGUAGGGCGCAAGCGUUAUCCGGAA
RNAcentral lists this ribosomal RNA (203 nucleotides) under uncultured bacterium. RNAcentral describes it as "partial 16S ribosomal RNA". It matches the Rfam family "Bacterial small subunit ribosomal RNA", at positions 335 to 550 of the family's 1533-position model. The record is from RNAcentral.